GAUGAACGCUGGCGGCGUGCCUAAUACAUGCAAGUCGAGCGAACAGACGAGGAGCUUGCUCCUCUGACGUUAGCGGCGGACGGGUGAGUAACACGUGGAUAACCUACCUAUAAUACUGGGAUAACUUCGGGAAACCGGAGCUAAUACCGGAUAAUAUAUUGAACCGCAUGGUUCAAUAGUGAAAGACGGUUUUGCUGUCACUUAUAGAUGGAUCCGCGCCGCAUUAUCUAGUUGGUAAGGUAACGGCUUACCAAGGCAACGAUGCGUAGCCGACCUGAGAGGGUGAUCGGCCACACUGGAACUGAGACACGGUCCAGACUCCUACGGGAGGCAGCAGUAGGGAAUCUUCCGCAAUGGGCGAAAGCCUGACGGAGCAACGCCGCGUGAGUGAUGAAGGUCUUCGGAUCGUAAAACUCUGUUAUUAGGGAAGAACAAAUGUGUAAGUAACUAUGCACGUCUUGACGGUACCUAAUCAGAAAGCCACGGCUAACUACGUG
Molecule: ribosomal RNA, 497 nt
Filed under: uncultured bacterium
Lineage: Bacteria
Description: partial 16S ribosomal RNA
Rfam family: Bacterial small subunit ribosomal RNA
Source: RNAcentral